AGUGAACGCUGGCGGUAGGCCUAACACAUGCAAGUCGAACGGCAGCACAGUAAGAGCUUGCUCUUACGGGUGGCGAGUGGCGGACGGGUGAGGAAUACAUCGGAAUCUACUUUUUCGUGGGGGAUAACGUAGGGAAACUUACGCUAAUACCGCAUACGACCUACGGGUGAAAGCAGGGGAUCUUCGGACCUUGCGCGAUUGAAUGAGCCGAUGUCGGAUUAGCUAGUUGGCGGGGUAAAGGCCCACCAAGGCGACGAUCCGUAGCUGGUCUGAGAGGAUGAUCAGCCACACUGGAACUGAGACACGGUCCAGACUCCUACGGGAGGCAGCAGUGGGGAAUAUUGGACAAUGGGCGCAAGCCUGAUCCAGCCAUACCGCGGGGGUGAAGAAGGCCUUCGGGUUGUAAAGCCCUUUUGUUGGGAAAGAAAAGCAGCAGGUUAAUACCCCGCUGUUCUGACGGUACCCAAAGAAUAAGCACCGGCUAACUUCGG
RNAcentral lists this ribosomal RNA (491 nucleotides) under uncultured bacterium. Its description in RNAcentral is "partial 16S ribosomal RNA". It matches the Rfam family "Bacterial small subunit ribosomal RNA", at positions 29 to 506 of the family's 1533-position model. The record is from RNAcentral.